Gasterosteus aculeatus aculeatus (three-spined stickleback) is the source of this 2029-nucleotide long non-coding RNA. The record is from Ensembl. Lineage: Eukaryota; Metazoa; Chordata; Actinopteri; Perciformes; Gasterosteidae.
CAGCAAGGGUACCGCUUGAUGGAAGGACAUGUAAUUUUUCGGGUUGUUUGUGGAAAUGGUAAUGAUUUUGACCCAGGGCUCUCAAGUGUCACGGCAUUGACAAUCGCAUUUCGAUGUCUUAGUCACGCACUCCCCGCCACACACAAAGAAAGGUGAUACUGAACUAGUUAACAAACAGAAUACGACUCAUGGUGGUCAUUUACAUGCUACGUACAGAACACUUACAGACUUACACUUACAGGUCUUCAAAGACAAACAGUGACGAUUAAACGUAGCUCCUGCAUGUUCUCUCAGUAGAAUCACAAACAAAAGGGACUAACUACGGUAAGAGAGGAGGGACAAAUCUAAGAACAGAAAUGCAAAGUAAUAAUGCAUGUUUGAUACCUUUCUUUUCCAUUGAAUUAUAAUGGGAUGUUUACUGAACCUGAUGGCCCCUACCAAGAAAGAAUCCACCAACCCUACAGUGACGUCGAAAUGUUUGUGUCCCUCUACUUUCUGACAGCAGGGGAAACUGUACCAGGUUGUUUUGUUGAGUAGAAUCAGAAAAAUUAUAGUUUUUAUCAGGUUGUUCCUUCUUUAAUCAUGUAUUUCACUGUAACCGUAAGUAUAGAAUGUCACUUCUUUUGACAUAUUGUCAGGGCUCAUUUCGGUCUCUAGUGACGCACUCCCGCCACACAUCCAAUUUCUCAUGCCAACCCCCCCACCCCUUAUUUUUUCAAAAUUGGUUAAAACAUGAUGAUUCUUAAAAAAAUCAUAAGAAAUUACAUCACACAUUACAUUGGAACUAGUUACCAUGGUUACCAAAGAACUCUCGGGCAGUGAUGUAAUGCUUUGCCUAGCAACAGUUGCUAAGCUACGAGGUUUAUUCUUCAUCUGACCACUGAUCUUAUCAGUCAUUCCGAACCACACCAAGAAAGGAGAGGCAGCUUUUUGUGUUGAGUACAAGGAUACUGAAGUACAAGGUUAAAAUUUGGGGAAACAAGUGAAUUUGAAGAAAAUGUCGAACUUAAUGUUUUUAGGCAUGCAUGUACCAGCUGUACAAAACAUUUUUAUGGGGAACGAAAUGUCCUGUCACAAUUCUAAAAAACUGAAGGCCAUCAACUGUCUCACGGAGCAUUCUAAUGGAUACGACAUUAACGUUAAAUGUGACAUUUCGGAAGGGGCAAUUGAUUGUAGCACAGAGCACAGUCUGGAAAGCAGCGAUUCGACUGCCUCAAAAGGAGAAACUCCAUUAGCUGACUUUAGACGGACACCCAGUCUGGAAAGCCACUAUUCAACUCCGGUUGAGGUCUUGAACCCUGAAUUGGACCCUUUUGGAGAAUUCAUCGUUGACACUUUGACUCCAUCCAGUUUGCCAUGGAACUCAGAGUUUCCCGUCGUUAUUAAAAGGGUCACAACAACAACGGAGCCUAUUCAGCCAGAAGCAGCCUCUAUCCCAGAGGUGCAAGCUGAGACCGACACACAAAAUCGGUGGGACAAAUUAUGCUGCAGGACUGUAGUGGAGAAGCUAGUCAGCCGGGUAACUGGUGAUCCAAUAGCAGCUAACCUCCACAAAGUCACCGUUGAUUCAUUGACGCAGCAGGUCUUUGAAAAGCUCGAACAUAUUGAUGUAGCCGUGGAGGCACAGACACACAACAUGAUGAGGGCUGACAUGAAAGCCCACAAGGACCUGCUGAAAAUGAUGAACUGUAAAAGUAGACGAGCGUCGGUUCAGCAGCUAACUCUGCAGCUAACUGUGGAGCUGACUGAUAAUCACGUCUGCGAGACACUGGUAAAGCACAUGAUGAAGCCAAAGAAAUCCAGCUUGUUCAAAAGAUUCUUGAGCGCCUCAGCAAAACCGUCCAUCGCGUGUUUCAGACUUGCCUCAGGAGAAUAAAAGGGGUUGUUCUUGUGUACGGUACGAGCGUUUGCGCCACUCCCCUGUCGACCGCCACGUCCACGGCACACCCCGGCACAUCAUGGCGUCCCAGCCGACCCCCCCCCCCCGUCGACAGUAGCUUCCGCGCCAUUGCCCACUCCCCCUGUAGAC